AACGAACGCUGGCGGCAGGCUUAACACAUGCAAGUCGAGCGCCCCGCAAGGGGAGCGGCAGACGGGUGAGUAACACGUGGUAACAUACCCAUCUCUGCGGAACAACUCCGGGAAACUGGAGCUAAUACCGCAUACGCCCUUCGGGGGCAAGAUUUAUCGGAGAUGGAUUGGCCCGCGUUGGAUUAGCUAGUUGGUGGGGUAAAGGGCUACCAAGGCGACGAUACAUAGCUGGUCUGAGAGGAUGAUCAGCCACAUUGGGACUGAGACACGGUCCAAACUCCUACGGGAGGCAGCAGUGGGGAAUAUUGGACAAUGGGCGCAAGCCUGAUCCAGCCAUGCCGCGUGAGUGAUGAAGGCCUUAGGGUUGUAAAGCUCUUUCACCGAUGAAGAUAAUGACGGUAGUCGGAGAAGAAGCCCCGGCUAACUUCGUGCCAGCCGCCGCGGUAA
Molecule: ribosomal RNA, 447 nt
Filed under: uncultured bacterium
Lineage: Bacteria
Description: partial 16S ribosomal RNA
Rfam family: Bacterial small subunit ribosomal RNA
Source: RNAcentral